This 400-nucleotide ribosomal RNA is filed under the name uncultured bacterium. RNAcentral's name for it is "bacterial SSU rRNA". It matches the Rfam family "Bacterial small subunit ribosomal RNA", at positions 355 to 748 of the family's 1533-position model. The record is from RNAcentral.
UCGAGAAUUUUUCACAAUGGGCGCAAGCCUGAUGGAGCGACGCCGCGUGGGGGAUGAAUGGCUUCGGCCCGUAAACCCCUGUCAUUUGCGAGCAAGGCUCCGCACCCAACACGUGCGGAGUUGAUAGUAGCGAAAGAGGAAGGGACGGCUAACUCUGUGCCAGCAGCCGCGGUAAUACAGAGGUCCCAAGCGUUGUUCGGAUUCACUGGGCGUAAAGGGUGCGUAGGUGGCAGGGUAAGUUUGAUGUGAAAUCCCCGGGCUUAACUCGGGAACUGCAUUGAAUACUAUCCUGCUUGAGGAUCGGAGGGGAGACUGGAAUUCUCGGUGUAGCAGUGAAAUGCGUAGAGAUCGAGAGGAACACCAGUGGCGAAGGCGAGUCUCUGGACGAUUCCUGACGCUG